UACGUAGGGCGCAAGCGUUAUCCGGAAUUAUUGGGCGUAAAGAGCUCGUAGGCGGUUUGUCGCGUCUGCCGUGAAAGUCAGGGGCUCAACCCCUGAAUGCGGGUGGAUACUGCUGGGCUAGAGUCCGGAAGAGGCGAGUGGAAUUCCUGGCGUAGCGGUGAAAUGCGCAGAUAUCAGGAGGAACACCAAUGGCGAAGGCAGAUCUCUGGGCCGUAACUGACGCUGAGGAGCGAAAGCAUGGGGAGCGAACAGG
Molecule: ribosomal RNA, 253 nt
Filed under: uncultured bacterium
Lineage: Bacteria
Description: partial 16S ribosomal RNA
Rfam family: Bacterial small subunit ribosomal RNA
Source: RNAcentral